UUGUCCGUUCACUCCCAACCAGCAGACACCAGCUGCAUCCUACAGCUUCCCAAAGAUGUGCACUAUCUGCUCCAGCCUCAUGGGGCCCCCACCUGGGGCGCCAUCCCUAAACUACCCCCACCUGGCCGCUCCCCUCUGGCUCAGAGGCCUCUCAGGCGCCAGCACAAGCUGGGAGCGUGAGUGUAUUACAACCCAACGGCGGCCCAUCUUCAGCAGGAAGCAAGAACCAUUUUGGAAACUGUCAUGUAACUUACUUUCUCCUUUAACCUCGUCAUCGUUUUCUGUAGGGGGAAAAAAAACAGAGAAAAAGAGAAAAAAAUGAGUUUUACAAAUGAAAUGGAACCUUUUUAUAUAUACAUACAUACAUAUCUAUAUAUCUAUAUAAAAUAAAGUAAUUUUCCAAAAU
Molecule: long non-coding RNA, 406 nt
Filed under: Rattus norvegicus (Norway rat)
Lineage: Eukaryota; Metazoa; Chordata; Mammalia; Rodentia; Muridae
Description: long non-coding RNA NONRATT005892
Source: RNAcentral